Molecule: long non-coding RNA, 1322 nt
Filed under: Cricetulus griseus (Chinese hamster)
Lineage: Eukaryota; Metazoa; Chordata; Mammalia; Rodentia; Cricetidae
Description: lncRNA (ENSCGRG00000026288.1)
Source: RNAcentral
GACUGGAUUAAAGGCAUGCACCACCACACCCCACACUGGAUAUAUUCUGCUCCACCCUUAGGUGUAUGUAGCAGGAGGUCCUAUACACGAGUCCACAGAGGGACUCUUAAAUCCUGUUCACAGCAGUCUGUUCCUGGUGGCAGAAAUCUGGAAACGGCCCGAGCACACUUGCUGAGAGGAGAAUGGAUGAAUGAAUUGCACACCCAUAGAGCAGAGUACUACUCUGCCAUUAAAAUAAAUGAGCAGCAUGCAGAAACAGCAUUGGGGACUCUCCAAAACAGCAUGUUGCUCUAAAGAAGCCAGACACAAAGACUGCACACUGUGAUCUACCAAGGCAAAUGAACCCACAGCAGAGGAAGUGGCUUGGUGGGGGGGGCGCNNNNNNNNNNNNNNNNNNNNNNNNNGGCAGUGGGAGGGACCCAUCUGUGAGAUGAAGGCGAGGUCUGGUUCACAUGGUGGCACCAGGGAGAUGCUCCGGUGACACACAGUGCAAAGCUUGCCCCAGGGUAACCCCUUGUCCAUCCCUGGGCUUUGUCAAGAUGCAGCCAGAGGCUGGUCCACAAGAAGCAAUUGGUGGCUUCACGCAGCUCCCUGGGGAAAGCCCUCACUGCCGGAAUCACGUGCAGCCCCCAGUCACGGGUCUGUGGUGCGUCACGAUCAUGAGUCUGCGGCGAUGAGAGCUCCGUGAUUCACACAUGUCAAGGUUGAUGAGGAUAUUGAGGAGUCGCUUCCUCAGGGGGAUAAUAGAAAACAACGUCUCUAAAUAUUUCAUUUCUUUCAAGAGAUGUCACAUCAGCUCACUGUCGAAGCGUUGAUUCAUUUCAGGGUUUUGUAUUUGGUUAAGGACAAAAAGAAAAAAAAUCUCCUUGGCAAAGACAGUGAAGGGCUGAGGGGAAGCAGCAGAUUCUUGUCAGUGUUUGGGAAACGCAGAGGGAAACCUUGCUUCUUUUCCCUGCUUCCUGCUUCCAAGGUCUCUUUGGAUUCUGGAAACAGAGAGUCUGUGAAGCCAGUGACACCCUCAAACCAUUCAAAGGAGUUGCGUUUACACCAACAUGCCUGCAUCAUUCUUAGAAAAAGGGGAGCAGGAGGAGGAAAAGGAGGAGACACGAUAAAAACCAGCUCUGAGGACUCCCUCUUCUGGGCUUACUGGCAGCUCCAAAUUCUCAUUUGCGUCAAUUAAGCAAUGAAAAGGAAAGGGAAGAGGGAAAUGAAUUUGUUACUUUCUUUAGUUGGGGUUCCUGUCGCUGUGAUGAAACACCAUGACCAAAGCAAGUAGGGGAGGAAAGGGUUUAUUUCGCUUAUACUUCCACAUCACAGUACAU